This 426-nucleotide ribosomal RNA is filed under the name uncultured bacterium. RNAcentral's name for it is "bacterial SSU rRNA". It matches the Rfam family "Bacterial small subunit ribosomal RNA", at positions 355 to 774 of the family's 1533-position model. The record is from RNAcentral.
UAGGGAAUUUUCGUCAAUGGGGGGAACCCUGAACGAGCAAUGCCGCGUGAGUGAAGAAGGUCUUCGGAUCGUAAAGCUCUGUUGUAAGAGAAAAACGGAUCAUGUAGGGAAUGACAUGAUAGUGAUGGUAUCUUACCAGAAAGCCACGGCUAACUACGUGCCAGCAGCCGCGGUAAUACGUAGGUGGCAAGCGUUAUCCGGAAUGAUUGGGCGUAAAGGGUGCGUAGGUGGUACAUUAAGUCUGAAGUAAAAGGCAGCAGCUCAACUGCUGUUCGCUUUGGAAACUGGUGAACUAGAGUGCAGGAGAGGGCGAUGGAAUUCCAUGUGUAGCGGUAAAAUGCGUAGAUAUAUGGAGGAACACCAGUGGCGAAGGCGGUCGCCUGGCCUGUAACUGACACUGAGGCACGAAAGCGUGGGGAGCAAAUA